Molecule: unclassified non-coding RNA, 246 nt
Filed under: uncultured fungus
Lineage: Eukaryota; Fungi
Description: sequence contains ITS1, 5.8S rRNA gene
Rfam family: 5.8S ribosomal RNA (bases 198-246)
Source: RNAcentral
UCUCCGUUGGUGAACCAGCGGAGGGAUCAUUACACAAAUAUGAAGGCGGGCUGGAACCUCUCGGGGUUACAGCCUUGCUGAAUUAUUCACCCUUGUCUUUUGCGUACUUCUUGUUUCCUUGGUGGGUUCGCCCACCACUAGGACAAACAUAAACCUUUUGUAAUUGCAAUCAGCGUCAGUAACAAAUUAAUAAUUACAACUUUCAACAACGGAUCUCUUGGUUCUGGCAUCGAUGAAGAACGCAGC